UUGGUGGGGUAAGGGCCUCCAAGGCGAUGAUGGAUAGCCGGCCUGAGAGGGUGUACGGCCACACUGGGACUGAGAUAGGCCCAGACUCCUACGGGAGGCAGCAGCUAAGAAUCUUCCGCAAUGGGCGCAAGCCUGAGGAGCGACGCCGCGUGGGCGACGAAGGUCUUCGGAUUGUAAAGCCCUUUUGCAGGGGACAACAACUCGCUUGGCGAGCCUGACGGUACUCUGCGAAUAAGCCACGGCUAACUCUGUGCAGCAGCCGCGGUGAUACAGAGGUGGCGAGCGUUGUCCGGAUUUACUGGGUGUAAAGGGUCGUAGGCGGAUGGAUAAGUCGGGGGUUAAAGCCUCUUGCUCAACAAGAGAAAUGCCUUCAUACUGUCUGUCUAGAGUGCCGAAGAGGAAGCUGGAAUUCCCGGUGUAGCGGUGGAAUGGUAGAGAUCGGGAGGAACACCAGUGGCGAAGGCAGGCUUCUGGUCGGCAACUGACGCUGUGCACGAAAGCGUGGGGAGCAAACGGGAUUAGAUACCCUGGUAGUCCACGCCCUAAACGUGGAUGCUAGAU
RNAcentral lists this ribosomal RNA (561 nucleotides) under uncultured Chlorobiota bacterium. Its description in RNAcentral is "bacterial SSU rRNA". It matches the Rfam family "Bacterial small subunit ribosomal RNA", at positions 249 to 821 of the family's 1533-position model. Lineage: Bacteria; Pseudomonadati; Chlorobiota. The record is from RNAcentral.